CUACACAUGCAGUCGAACGAUGAAGCCCAGCUUGCUGGGUGGAUUAGUGGCGAACGGGUGAGUAACACGUGAGUAACCUGCCCUUGACUCUGGGAUAAGCGCUGGAAACGGCGUCUAAUACCGGAUACGACCUGCCCCGGCAUCGGGUGUGGGUGGAAAGUUUUUCGGUCAAGGAUGGACUCGCGGCCUAUCAGCUUGUUGGUGAGGUAAUGGCUCACCAAGGCGACGACGGGUAGCCGGCCUGAGAGGGUGACCGGCCACACUGGGACUGAGACACGGCCCAGACUCCUACGGGAGGCAGCAGUGGGGAAUAUUGCACAAUGGGCGAAAGCCUGAUGCAGCAACGCCGCGUGGGGGAUGACGGCCUUCGGGUUGUAAACCUCUUUUAGUAGGGAAGAAGGACUUCGGUUUGACGGUACCUGCAGAAAAAGCACCGGCUAACUACGUGCCAGCAGCCGCGGUAAUACGUAGGGUGCAAGCGUUGUCCGGAAUUAUUGGGCGUAAAGAGCUCGUAGGCGGUUUGUCGCGUCUGCUGUGAAAACCCGAGGCUCAACCUCGGGCCUGCAGUGGGUACGGGCAGACUAGAGUGCGGUAGGGGAGAAUGGAAUUCCUGGUGUAGCGGUGGAAUGCGCAGAUAUCAGGAGGAACACCGAUGGCGAAGGCAGUUCUCUGGGCCGUAACUGACGCUGAGGAGCGAAAGCAUGGGGAGCGAACAGGAUUAGAUACCCUGGUAGUCCAUGCCGU
Molecule: ribosomal RNA, 744 nt
Filed under: bacterium 127_xplvp336
Lineage: Bacteria
Also listed under: 1 other name
Description: bacterial SSU rRNA
Rfam family: Bacterial small subunit ribosomal RNA
Source: RNAcentral